CCACCGGGAUGUUCAUAACCCUUUGUUGUCCGACUCUGUUGCCUCCGGGGCGACCCUGCCUUCGGGCGGGGGCUCCGGGUGGACACUUCAAACUCUUGCGUAACUUUGCAGUCUGAGUAAACUUAAUUAAUAAAUUAAAACUUUUAACAACGGAUCUCUUGGUUCUGGCAUCGAUGAAGAACGCAGCGAAAUGCGAUAAGUAAUGUGAAUUGCAGAAUUCAGUGAAUCAUCGAAUCUUUGAACGCACAUUGCGCCCCCUGGUAUUCCGGGGGGCAUGCCUGUUCGAGCGUCAUUUCACCACUCAAGCCUCGCUUGGUAUUGGGCAACGCGGUCCGCCGCGUGCCUCAAAUCGACCGGCUGGGUCUUCUGUCCCCUAAGCGUUGUGGAAACUAUUCGCUAAAGGGUGCUCGGGAGGCUACGCCGUAAAACAAACCCAUUUCUAAGGUUGACCUCGGAUCAGGUAGGGAUACCCGCUGAACUUAAGCAUAUCA
RNAcentral lists this ribosomal RNA (491 nucleotides) under Cladosporium oxysporum. RNAcentral describes it as "eukaryotic LSU rRNA". The stretch from base 139 to 292 matches the Rfam family "5.8S ribosomal RNA". The record is from RNAcentral. Lineage: Eukaryota; Fungi; Ascomycota; Dothideomycetes; Cladosporiales; Cladosporiaceae. RNAcentral also lists the same sequence under 1 other name.